This 1372-nucleotide ribosomal RNA is filed under the name uncultured bacterium. RNAcentral's name for it is "bacterial SSU rRNA". It matches the Rfam family "Bacterial small subunit ribosomal RNA", at positions 28 to 1381 of the family's 1533-position model. The record is from RNAcentral.
GAUGAACGCUGGCGGCGUGCCUAAUACAUGCAAGUCGAGCGAACGGACGAGAAGCUUGCUUCUCUGAUGUUAGCGGCGGACGGGUGAGUAACACGUGGAUAACCUACCUAUAAGACUGGGAUAACUUCGGGAAACCGGAGCUAAUACCGGAUAAUAUUUUGAACCGCAUGGUUCAAAAGUGAAAGACGGUCUUGCUGUCACUUAUAGAUGGAUCCGCGCUGCAUUAGCUAGUUGGUAAGGUAACGGCUUACCAAGGCAUCGAUGCAUAGCCGACCUGAGAGGGUGAUCGGCCACACUGGAACUGAGACACGGUCCAGACUCCUACGGGAGGCAGCAGUAGGGAAUCUUCCGCAAUGGGCGAAAGCCUGACGGAGCAACGCCGCGUGAGUGAUGAAGGUCUUCGGAUCGUAAAACUCUGUUAUUAGGGAAGAACAUAUGUGUAAGUAACUGUGCACAUCUUGACGGUACCUAAUCAGAAAGCCACGGCUAACUACGUGCCAGCAGCCGCGGUAAUACGUAGGUGGCAAGCGUUAUCCGGAAUUAUUGGGCGUAAAGCGCGCGUAGGCGGUUUUUUAAGUCUGAUGUGAAAGCCCACGGCUCAACCGUGGAGGGUCAUUGGAAACUGGAAAACUUGAGUGCAGAAGAGGAAAGUGGAAUUCCAUGUGUAGCGGUGAAAUGCGCAGAGAUAUGGAGGAACACCAGUGGCGAAGGCGACUUUCUGGUCUGUAACUGACGCUGAUGUGCGAAAGCGUGGGGAUCAAACAGGAUUAGAUACCCUGGUAGUCCACGCCGUAAACGAUGAGUGCUAAGUGUUAGGGGGUUUCCGCCCCUUAGUGCUGCAGCUAACGCAUUAAGCACUCCGCCUGGGGAGUACGACCGCAAGGUUGAAACUCAAAGGAAUUGACGGGGACCCGCACAAGCGGUGGAGCAUGUGGUUUAAUUCGAAGCAACGCGAAGAACCUUACCAAAUCUUGACAUCCUUUGACAACUCUAGAGAUAGAGCCUUCCCCUUCGGGGGACAAAGUGACAGGUGGUGCAUGGUUGUCGUCAGCUCGUGUCGUGAGAUGUUGGGUUAAGUCCCGCAACGAGCGCAACCCUUAAGCUUAGUUGCCAUCAUUAAGUUGGGCACUCUAAGUUGACUGCCGGUGACAAACCGGAGGAAGGUGGGGAUGACGUCAAAUCAUCAUGCCCCUUAUGAUUUGGGCUACACACGUGCUACAAUGGACAAUACAAAGGGCAGCGAAACCGCGAGGUCAAGCAAAUCCCAUAAAGUUGUUCUCAGUUCGGAUUGUAGUCUGCAACUCGACUACAUGAAGCUGGAAUCGCUAGUAAUCGUAGAUCAGCAUGCUACGGUGAAUACGUUCCCGGGUCU